This 1764-nucleotide ribosomal RNA is filed under the name Triticum aestivum (bread wheat). Its description in RNAcentral is "partial small subunit ribosomal RNA". Lineage: Eukaryota; Viridiplantae; Streptophyta; Magnoliopsida; Poales; Poaceae. The record is from RNAcentral.
AUGUGGAGAGGCCGAACACGUUCCCCCAGUCUACAACGCCUCGCUGAUUCCCUGAAACAUCUUCAAGGGGUACUCGAACCGUGGGGUGUAAAGGAGUUUGGGGGUUUAACUCGCAAAGUUCGUCAGUUGCAGAAACGUUUGGACAAACUUCGGACGUGUUCAGUUGGACGUGUCCCCAAUGACGAGGAAAGGAGUAUUGCCCAAAAGCUACGUGAAGCAUUACAUCGAGAAGAGAUCUGGGCCCGCCAGCGCUCGCGGAUUCCUUGGCUACGAGAUGGCGACCGUAAUACAGGAUAUUUUCAUGCUCAGGCAGCUCAAAGGAAAAGGAUCAACAAAAUGCAGGGCCUAAUGCGUCCAGAUGGCUCGUUUUGCAUGAAUGAAAGUGAAGAUAAGUACGUUCCUGUCAAAAUCUCUGAGGAGAUGAAUAGGGAACUUACGAAACCUUUUACACCAGCAGAGGUACGGAAAGCUUUAUUCCAGAUGGCGCCUACAAAGGCUCCUGGAGUAGACGGGUACACAGCUGGGUUCUUUCAGCGACACUGGGCACUUGUUGGCGAUGAUGUGACUCAGGUUGUGCUUGAUUUUUUGAAUGGAGGCGAAUUAUCGGCGGGGCUCAAUGAUACUUCUAUAACACUUAUCCCUAAGGUAGAGGCCUUCAAUGAGAGAUACUUGGGUCUACCCACUGCGGUGGGGAGGAUCACUAGCGACACCUUUGAGUAUAUCAGUGAUAAGGCGAAAGGAAAAAUACAAGGGUGGUCUGAGAAGCUCCUUGCUUGCACAGGUAGAGAAACCUUGUUGAAAUCAGUUGUGCAAGCAAUUCAGACCUACCCGAUGAGUACUUUCCUCUUCACCAAGAAGCCGGAUUCCUUGUGUGCAAGAGUGAUGAAAGGUAGAUAUUUCCUGGACACCGACUUCAUGCAAGCAACAUGUCCCCGAUCAGCGUCGGCUACUUGGCGGGCAAUUAUUGCAGGAAGAGAAACACUUGAUGCUGGUCUUAUAAAACGAGUUGGGGAUGGAACUUCUAUCUCAGUUUGGGACGAUAAAUGGAUUCCAGGAACGAGCUCCAUGAAACCGAUGGUGAGACCAGCCAACACCACUGUUGACAGAGUUGCAGAUUUACUGGAUCCACAGAUUGGUAGAUGGAAUGAAUCGUUGGUUCAUGACACGUUCAUUGCAACUGAUGCACAGGCAAUUCUUAAUAUUCCUUUAAGCAUGAACGGGCGUGCGGACUCCCUUGCGUGGGCGUUUGAGCGAUCAGGCUUAUACACUGUUAAAUCAGCGUACCGUAUUCUUAUGACUCAGAAAGAGAGUGCAGCUCUCGACGAAGGAACGGCUACGGAAACUUCAAAUGAAGAAAAACAUAUGUGGAAGGCUCUGUGGAAGCUCAAUGUUGUUCCUAAACGGAUCACGGACAAAGAUCGGCCCAUCAUUAUCACCAUCAUGUGGAACAUUUGGCAUUCUAGGAAUCGGGUGAAGCAUGAUGGUGCAGCUCUUGAUCCGGUGACUAUAGCAAGACGUACGAGAGAAGUGAUGGCAAUCCUUGAGCUACCAAGGAAGGAGCCGGUGGUAUUACCUGGCCACGGCUGGCGACCGCCGGAGCAAGGCAUCAUCAAGAUCUCAACGGAUGAGGCACUGAACUUUGAAGAAGGCCGAGGAGGAGGUGGGGGCGUUGCUCGCACAAAUACCUCUUUGCUUGCGGCAUGGUGCAAACCUCAUCCAGGAAAUUUCGGACCCUUUCAUCAUGGAAGCUAUUGCUAUACAUGA